AGCAGUGGGGAAUCUUGCGCAAUGGGCGAAAGCCUGACGCAGCCAUGCCGCGUGAAUGAUGAAGGUCUUAGGAUUGUAAAAUUCUUUCACCGGGGACGAUAAUGACGGUACCCGGAGAAGAAGCCCCGGCUAACUUCGUGCCAGCAGCCGCGGUAAUACGAAGGGGGCUAGCGUUGCUCGGAAUUACUGGGCGUAAAGGGAGCGUAGGCGGACAUUUAAGUCAGGGGUGAAAUCCCGGGGCUCAACCUCGGAAUUGCCUUUGAUACUGGGUGUCUUGAGUAUGAGAGAGGUGUGUGGAACUCCGAGUGUAGAGGUGAAAUUCGUAGAUAUUCGGAAGAACACCAGUGGCGAAGGCGACACACUGGCUCAUUACUGACGCUGAGGCUCGAAAGCGUGGGGAGCAAACAGGAUUAGAUACCCUGGUAGUCCACGCCGUAAACGAUGAUUGCUAGUUGUCGGGAUGCAUGCAUUUCGGUGACGCAGCUAACG
This 489-nucleotide ribosomal RNA is filed under the name uncultured Brevundimonas sp. RNAcentral describes it as "bacterial SSU rRNA". It matches the Rfam family "Bacterial small subunit ribosomal RNA", at positions 350 to 857 of the family's 1533-position model. The record is from RNAcentral. Lineage: Bacteria; Pseudomonadati; Pseudomonadota; Alphaproteobacteria; Caulobacterales; Caulobacteraceae.